Molecule: unclassified non-coding RNA, 371 nt
Filed under: fungal sp.
Lineage: Eukaryota; Fungi
Description: partial internal transcribed spacer region
Rfam family: Eukaryotic small subunit ribosomal RNA (bases 1-46)
Source: RNAcentral
AAGUCGUAACAAGGUUUCCGUAGGUGAACCUGCGGAAGGAUCAUUAACACGUAUCCACGUAUCCACCCAUGCGCACUGACGUUGUCAGCCUCCCUCGAGGCGCCAUGAAUUGGAAGAGAAUGCAGAUCGGAGUGGAGCUCAGCAAUGGGCUCGUCUGCACCUCCCAUGACACAAUUGUAGGCGCUCUCGGGAUUCAUUCUGGCCGUGCGGACCCACACAACGGGACUGCGCGGUUGGACCACUAUUAACCAAUCUCACCCCACUUUUGCUAGUUGACUUUAUCUAUGUGACUCGCCAUACUCCGGUAUGCGGAUCCACGUUUAUUUACUUAAACAAUAAAACAACUCUUAGCAAUGGAUAUCUUGGUUCUC